This 221-nucleotide ribosomal RNA is filed under the name uncultured bacterium. RNAcentral describes it as "partial 16S ribosomal RNA". It matches the Rfam family "Bacterial small subunit ribosomal RNA", at positions 524 to 741 of the family's 1533-position model. The record is from RNAcentral.
UACAGAGGGGGCAAGCGUUAAUCGGAAUUACUGGGCGUAAAGCGUACGCAGGCGGUUUUUGUAAGUCUGACGUGAAAUCCCCGGGCUUAACCUGGGAAUUGCGUUGGAGACUGCAAGGCUGGAGUCUGGCAGAGGGGGGGUAGAAUUCCACGUGUGAGCAGUGAAAUGCGUAGAGAUGUGGAGGAACACCGAUGGCGAAGGCAGCCCCCUGGGUCAAGAUU